Lolium perenne is the source of this 2352-nucleotide RNA transcript. It is a transcript of the gene named pentatricopeptide repeat-containing protein At5g50390, chloroplastic-like, with no coding region annotated. The record is from RefSeq and is a predicted model, not a curated record. Lineage: Eukaryota; Viridiplantae; Streptophyta; Magnoliopsida; Poales; Poaceae.
UAUCCCCUCUGCUCUCACCUUCCUCGCUCGCUCGCGCAAAACCCAACCCAAAACCCCAGCACAACACCCUCCUCAUCUUCCUCUCAAAUCCACCUCCAUUUCUCCAAAAUCCCGCUCCAAUCCGCACCCAGCUCUCCGUCUCCCGUCCAUGGAGCUGCAGCGCACGCCCCUCCGCACCCUCCCGCUCCACCCCCGCGCCGCCACCCACCCCACCAAAGCCACGGCCACGGCGACGGCCAGCACCGUCUCCGCAUGCUCGGUGGUCGAACCCCAGUCUCUAAAACCCCGGCCGCAGUUCCCGCGUCCGGCGCCGCUCCACCGGCGCAGGCGGAGCAGCACCAUCCCCUUCGACCUCCCCGCCCUCUGCGCCGCCAUCGAGCAGCUGGUGGCCGCGGGGCGGCACCGGGAGGCCUGCGACGCGCUCCGGGACGCGCGCGCGGGGGCGACCUUCGCGGCCCUGCCGCCGCCCACCUACGACGCGCUGGUCACGGCCGCCUCGGCCCUGCGCGAGGCCGGGGACGCGGCGGCGGUGCUCUGGCACAUGGAGAGCGCCGGGUUCCAGCCCGACCAGUACAUGUGGAACCGGGUGCUCGGGAUGCUCCUAACGUGCGGCAUGCUCGCCGAGGCGCGGGAGGUGUUCGACGGAAUGCCGGCCCGCAGCCGGGUCACCUGGGGGGUCAUGAUGGGCGGGCUCGUCGACGGGAAGCGCCCCCGCGCCGCCCUGACACUCUUCAGGGAGCUCUGCGACGAGACGGGACCGACCGCUGGCCCGAGGGUGCUCGUGGUGGCCGUCCGCGCGGCCACCGUACUAGGCUCAAUCCACGCCGGACGCGAGCUCCACUGCUGCGUCGCCAAGAUGGGGGCACGCGAGGACCAGUACCUGCCGUGCGCGCUCAUCGACAUGUACAGUAAGUGCGGGCGCGUCGACGAGGCGAGGCGGGUGUUCGACGGGAUGACACCUUCUUGGAGAAACGUCGUGGCAUGGAACACGAUGCUGGCGGCGUAUUUGCUCCACGGCCGCAGCGACCAGGCGCUGGACCUCUACCACGGCAUGUGCGCGAGCGGCGUCCAGCUGGACCAGUUCACGUUCUCGACGAUGCUCGGCGUUUUCUCCAGGCUGGGUUUGCUGGAGCACGCCAAGCAGAUGCACGCUGGCCUGAUUCAGAGCGGGCUGCAGGUGGACAUCGUCGGGAACACGGCGCUCGUUGAUCUCUACUGCAAGUGGGGGCGGAUGGAAGACGCCAGGCAUGUUUUCGACAGGAUGCCGAGCAGGAACCUCGUAUCCUGGAACGCUCUGAUAGCGGGGUAUGGCUACCACGGCAUGGGGGCCAAGGCUGUUGAGAUGUUUGAAAGGCUGUUUGCUGAAGGGAUUGCUCCGAACCACGUGACGUUUCUGGGAGUGCUAAAUGCGUGCAGGUUUUCUGGGUUUAUCGACAGAGGGAAGAGGAUCUUCCAGUUGAUGGCUCAUAACCCGAAAACGAAACCGCGUGCGAUGCACUAUGCUUGUGUUAUCGAGCUUUUUGGCCGGCAGGGGCUGCUAGAUGAAGCCUAUUCGAUGAUAAGGAAAGCACCGUUCGCCCCAACCGCCAACAUGUGGGGAGCCUUGCUCACUGCUUGUAGGAUCAACAAGAACAUUCAGCUUGCUAGAUUAGCCGCGGAGCAGCUCCUGGCGAUGGAACCUCAGAAAGUGAACAAUUACAUUGUGCUUCUCAACUUGUAUAUUAGCUCUGGGAAACAUGAUGAAGCUUUGACUGUGGUUAACACCUUAAAGAAGGCAGGGUUACAUAUGGGGGCUGCUUGUAGCUGGAUCACAGUCAAGAAAAAAGAUCACGGGUUUUUCUUUAAUGAUAGUCUCAACCCAAAAAGUUCAGAAAUUUACCAGAGGCUAGAUACAUUAAUGGAGGAGAUAAAAGAACUGGGUUAUGUCACUGAGGAUGAUGAAUUGCUCCCAGAUAUUCUUCCUGAUGAGCAGGAGACGUUGAAAGUUUACCAUAGUGAAAAACUUGCAGUUGCUUUUGGCCUUAUUAGCACAUCUCCAUCUGCUCCCUUGACGAUCAAUCAAAACCAUCGGUUAUGUCGUGACUGCCACAAGGUUAUCAAAUUUGUGUCAAAAGUUACAAAGAGAGAGAUUACUGUAAGAGAUGCUAGCAGGUUUCAUCACUUCAAACUUGGAACAUGCUCUUGUGGUGACUACUGGUAACUAGGCCUGCGCUUGCAAUUUGAUGGAAUUAAAACCAAGCAAUUAUUGAGUAACGUGCAGAAUCUAGGUUGCAUGUUGAGCAGUUGUUACCCUAUAGUAUGUUGUGGUAAACAAAAUUUCCGAUGGUUGAUCACUCAAAAGUACUAAAGCCA